Malus domestica (apple) is the source of this 2076-nucleotide long non-coding RNA. RefSeq lists it as uncharacterized. The record is from RefSeq and is a predicted model, not a curated record. NCBI's taxonomy places the organism in Eukaryota, Viridiplantae, Streptophyta, Magnoliopsida, Rosales, Rosaceae.
AUAUUGCAUGUGCUACUUUACCAAUAUGUGAAAUGUUAACGCCUCUGAACCUAUUUUACUCUGGCAAGGAUACGAGAAUUGUGUCCAAAACUCCCCAACUUUUAUAAAUGUUUGGGAAUGAUGUCUUCUGAACCAAAUACUUCCCAACUUUUUAAUCGAAAUAUGGAUUUGCUUUUUUUGGUGAACGACUGACCAAAUUUAAUUUGAAAAUUGAGCCUAUUUGAGAGAGUUAAUUCGUGAAGAAUAUCCUACUUUUGUUACCUAGAGGUGUUUAUAAAGAAUCUGAUCUAUUUAUAAAGUAGUUCAUUCUUUGAAGUCAACCACAAAAUUUAAAGUGGGUUAUAGAUGCUAUUGCUUGAUUCUUCAAUUCUAGCAAAGGGGUUCAUCAUUCUCUUAUCAACAUUUAUUUUAAGCUCAAGUUCAUGACAUUAUUGUCAGGGGAAAAGUCACUGGCAGCAAUCACCUUGUAAUCAUCGCAGGAAAAAUAUCGUAGUCAUUUUGAGCUCGGAUUCAGCGAACCUGUGGUAAACCUUCUUUUCCGAUUACUUUCAUUUAUUUAUUUGUGAAUCAACAACUUUUUAGGAAUAAUGAAUGUCACAAUUGCUGAUAAAUCGAUUCUUUGUUCGGAACCUGAACUAUCGAUCUGUGCAAAGUAGUACAUCCAUAUAUAGAUCAAUGCUAUGGAUUCUUCUCAACCUAUAGACCUCAAAUUUCGAAGUUGGAACAUUGUCAAGACAAGCAGAGAAUCCGUUUCUCUACGAAAGAGGCGGUUGUCACUGCUAAUCCAGGGACAAUAAUUUGAACACCAUGAAAAAAAAUAAUUAAGUUUUUGGUUGCAGAUAUGAUCCCUUGAACUUGAAUUAAUUGGAUCACUCUUUUUUCCUCGCAUGGAGUAAAGGUGGGCUUAAAAGAGAUCAAGUGUUAAUAAGGACCUUGAAAUGGAGUAUGUAUUAAGAUUCAUCAAUGGUGGUACAAAAUGUUAGUUGUGAAAAUGCCUACUUUUCUCUUGAAGAUCUUUUACCCAAGUAGCCAGAAUCAGUGACCAAAGCUCUCGAUAACGACUUGGACAUCGACCUGUACACUAUUCUCACCUUUUUCGGCUUUUAGGGAAUUGGUUGCUGAAUUUUAUUUCAAUAAUUUGUGAAAUUUUGUUUUGCUUUUUGUUGCACAGCUUUUAAACGUUGAUAUACAAUGUAAAAACAUCAAAUUUAUUCUGAAUGCAUCUUAGGAUUGUAGCUUUACUUAGCAGGUAUAUUUUAAAUUUUCUAUACUGAAAUUCCUCUCUAUAUUCUUACUUUCAGUAUUCAAAGAUGAAGUAAACUCUUAAACGAUAUAUUUUUACUCUAUUCUUUUUGUGUUUAUAUGUUCCUCUGGUUUUAUUUAGAAUCAUGAAACUUGAUUACAGUAAGAAGCAUAAUAGUAAUGGUUGGUUUUUGUUAUUUUUAAAAUUUUGAAAGGUUAGCAAAACCACUGAUGCAAAGAAGAAGGCUGCAAACAAUUUCUGAUUAAAUUGUAUCAUUAAAAUAUUUCAUAUGUGAAAAUUUGCUUAACAUUGUGAACACAAAUAGCAUUAAUCUUCUGUCACACAAACCCCUUAUACUUUUUUAACAUAAUUUUUUACGCAAUUUUUAAUCCCGCACCAAUGCAUGGGCAAAACUUUCUAGUAUCUAUCUAAAGGCAAUAGAAGUUACUGUUUAUUCAACAAUAUUUUAACGAUUAUUAGACAAUUAUAAAAACGUUCUACCUAACUAAACAUUUUUGAAGAUUAGACAUUUAUUAGGGCAUCCGCAAAUAUUAAAGUAGGUAUUAGCUCUCACGUUAUUUAUGGAGUUUUGAAUAUCUAAAUCGAUUCUUUUUAGUGAAGCAGAUUUAAGGUGCAAGUUGGCUAAAAAACAGGGUCGGUCCUAAGAAUUUGGGGGUCCUGUGUGAGACUCCAACAAAGGCUCUUCUAAAAUUUUGGUUGAUAUAUUUUCUUUUACAUUUUAUUUUUUAUAAUUGUGUAUAACUUGAAUAAUGUGAAGAAAGAAAAAAAAAAUUCUUGAUGUGGUGGCUAGAUAUCUAUUUGCAUCUUUUAUG